GUCAAAGAGGGGGACCUUCGGGCCUCUCGCGUCAGGAUAUGCCUAGGUGGGAUUAGCUAGUUGGUGAGGUAAUGGCUCACCAAGGCGACGAUCCCUAGCUGGUCUGAGAGGAUGAUCAGCCACACUGGAACUGAGACACGGUCCAGACUCCUACGGGAGGCAGCAGUGGGGAAUAUUGCACAAUGGGCGCAAGCCUGAUGCAGCCAUGCCGCGUGUGUGAAGAAGGCCUUCGGGUUGUAAAGCACUUUCAGUCGUGAGGAAGGUAGUGUAGUUAAUAGCUGCAUUAUUUGACGUUAGCGACAGAAGAAGCACCGGCUAACUCCGUGCCAGCAGCCGCGGUAAUACGGAGGGUGCGAGCGUUAAUCGGAAUUACUGGGCGUAAAGCGCAUGCAGGUGGUUUGUUAAGUCAGAUGUGAAAGCCCGGGGCUCAACCUCGGAAUAGCAUUUGAAACUGGCAGACUAGAGUACUGUAGAGGGGGGUAGAAUUUCAGGUGUAGCGGUGAAAUGCGUAGAGAUCUGAAGGAAUACCGGUGGCGAAGGCGGCCCCCUGGACAGAUACUGACACUCAGAUGCGAAAGCGUGGGGAGCAAACAGGAUUAGAUACCCUGGUAGUCCACGCCGUAAACGAUGUCUACUUGGAGGUUGUGGCCUUGAGCCGUGGCUUUCGGAGCUAACGCGUUAAGUAGACCGCCUGGGGAGUACGGUCGCAAGAUUAAAACUCAAAUGAAUUGACGGGGGCCCGCACAAGCGGUGGAGCAUGUGGUUUAAUUCGAUGCAACGCGAAGAACCUUACCUACUCUUGACAUCCAGAGAACUUUCCAGAGAUGGAUUGGUGCCUUCGGGAACUCUGAGACAGGUGCUGCAUGGCUGUCGUCAGCUCGUGUUGUGAAAUGUUGGGUUAAGUCCCGCAACGAGCGCAACCCUUAUCCUUGUUUGC
This 937-nucleotide ribosomal RNA is filed under the name Vibrio harveyi. RNAcentral describes it as "bacterial SSU rRNA". It matches the Rfam family "Bacterial small subunit ribosomal RNA", at positions 200 to 1118 of the family's 1533-position model. The record is from RNAcentral. Lineage: Bacteria; Pseudomonadati; Pseudomonadota; Gammaproteobacteria; Vibrionales; Vibrionaceae.